ACCGGCAGCUCAAGUGGUGGCCAUUAUUAUUGGGCCUAAAGCGUUCGUAGCCGGUUUGAUAAGUCUCUGGUGAAAUCCCGCAGCUUAACUGUGGGACUUGCUGGAGAUACUAUCAGACUUGAGGUCGGGAGAGGUUAGGGGUACUCCCAGGGGAGGGCUGAACGCAGAUACACAUGGGAGGAGAAACUAAGGCGAAGGCGGCGAACUGGACCAACCCCGCUGGUGAGCAAGGUCCGUCCGUGCCUCGAUACG
RNAcentral lists this ribosomal RNA (252 nucleotides) under uncultured prokaryote. Its description in RNAcentral is "partial 16S rRNA". It matches the Rfam family "Archaeal small subunit ribosomal RNA", at positions 475 to 726 of the family's 1478-position model. The record is from RNAcentral.